This 329-nucleotide unclassified non-coding RNA is filed under the name Hevea brasiliensis (rubber tree). Lineage: Eukaryota; Viridiplantae; Streptophyta; Magnoliopsida; Malpighiales; Euphorbiaceae. The record is from RNAcentral.
UAGAAAUUGAACUUAUAGCUGUUAAUGUGAUGAAUAUGAUGGUCCCUUCUAUUGUGUGGCCUUGUCAAAUACCAUGUCUGUUCAAAACCAUAUCCAGGGAAGAAUGUUUUUUAGAUGCCACUAGUGGUCUGAUUUUGCAGAAAGCCCAUAUGAUAGGGAGAAGGCAAAAUUUUAUAGUCAUUGUCAUUGGACAUUGUUUUAUAGGUUUUUUUCUUUCCAGAUUAUUAGCAUUUGUUCUAAAGUGAAAGUUUUAUUGCAUGAAAGCGAAAUGUGCUGAAUAUUCAACUGCUUUUGGCUUCUUAAUGCAUGCAGAACUGCUUUUGAAGCUG